RNAcentral lists this long non-coding RNA (573 nucleotides) under Manacus vitellinus (golden-collared manakin). RNAcentral's name for it is "lncRNA (ENSMVIG00005012455.1)". The record is from RNAcentral. Lineage: Eukaryota; Metazoa; Chordata; Aves; Passeriformes; Pipridae.
CUCUUAGAAACCCUGCUGGAGACAAAUCCUGGGCUCGGUGCACAUUUGGUGUGAUCAGCUGUGGCUCUCAGUAUUCUAACACUCAUCAUGUGCCUCACUGGUGUCAGGAGAGAUUUGGGCUGUGUACUAAUGGCUGUGGAGCUUGAUGGGCAUGUUGGUGGGAGUUGACUGAACGGAUUUAGCAGGUGAUGAAGUCAGCUUCCUCUAGACUCACCUUAGUUGCUUCCCCUCCUUGAUGAACCUUUUCCUUUAAGUCACCCUGGGAAGCAGCACUACUGGGAAGCAGCUCCUCCUGCAAGAGAUGAGCAUUCAUGUCAUGACACUGCUGAGGAUUCACAGUACAUCUACACAGGAAACAGUCCUGAUGGCUUCAGGAACACAGAAACCAAAACAAGCUUCUGUUUUUUUCAGCUUUACAUAUUACACUGCUGAAGGUUAUGCUGAAUGGGAUGCUGUGCAGCUCAAAGAUCACACAUCUCAAAUGGCUCACUUGGUGUUCUCAGACUGAACUGACUGGCUGAGUUGCAGCUCUCUGAGAAAGGGAAUGGUAGCUUUUCUCUCAGAACACUGUAA